UCAUCAAGGUGCCUCUGAAUC
This 21-nucleotide small nuclear RNA is filed under the name Arabidopsis thaliana (thale cress). RNAcentral's name for it is "snRNA_12759". The record is from RNAcentral. Lineage: Eukaryota; Viridiplantae; Streptophyta; Magnoliopsida; Brassicales; Brassicaceae.